CCUACGGGAGGCAGCAGUGAGGAAUAUUGGUCAAUGGCCGUGAGGCUGAACCAGCCAAGUCGCGUGAAGGAAGAAGGCCCUAUGGGUUGUAAACUUCUUUUAUAGAGGAAUAAAGUGAGGCACGUGUGGAUAUUUGCAUGUACCCUAUGAAUAAGCAUCGGCUAACUCCGUGCCAGCAGCCGCGGUAAUACGGAGGAUGCGAGCGUUAUCCGGAUUUAUUGGGUUUAAAGGGUGCGUAGGUUGGUUUUUAAGUCAGCGGUGAAAGUUUGUGGCUCAACCAUAAAAUUGCCUUUGAUACUGGCAGCCUUGAGUGUGUUUGAGGUAGGCGGAAUGCGUGGUGUAGCGGUGAAAUGCUUAGAUAUCACGCAGAACUCCGAUUGCGAAGGCAGCUUACUAAGCC
RNAcentral lists this ribosomal RNA (400 nucleotides) under uncultured bacterium. RNAcentral describes it as "partial 16S ribosomal RNA". It matches the Rfam family "Bacterial small subunit ribosomal RNA", at positions 338 to 735 of the family's 1533-position model. The record is from RNAcentral.